This is a small nucleolar RNA of Dipodomys ordii (Ord's kangaroo rat), 130 nucleotides long. Lineage: Eukaryota; Metazoa; Chordata; Mammalia; Rodentia; Heteromyidae. The record is from Ensembl.
CAGCAUUGUUCAAUGGCCUUUGGUUUUCUGGGUAACCAGUUAGGUCUGAAAACAAUGCAAGAGUAAACUUCCUUUUUCCACGAGAAUCAUCUCUGCAGUGGGAUGUUCCUAUCGACAAAAGGUUACAUAC